CAUGCGUCUCUCACCUGGCCUCCCCUCUCGGCCUCCCCAUGCAUGAUAAUGCAUUGCAUAGCCCAACCAUACCUURUUUUAGCAGAGCUGGAAAAGCUAUCCAGGUGCUGCUGUGCAGGGAGCCUCUGUGAGCAGAGCUCAGCCUAGCAGAGCUCUCCUAUGGUAGGAAUGUUCUGAUGACAGRGACGGGAGAGGAACCGUCUAGCUGGGAAGUUAAAUAUACCGUGACCCRCAGAAAUCCCUUAACUAACAAAACACGCUCAAAGCUCAGCAGAAUUGCCAAUCAGCCUCAUGGAAAAGGAAUUCCUAAUUAACUUUUGUUUUGUGCCCAUGUUACUGUCCUCUUCCCUCCUCCUUUGCUGUGGUAUUUCCAUCGUGGGAAGAUGCUGUACUUCCCAUGAGCUCAGUGGAACUUUUCCUGAGCACUGCCUGGGGUCCUGUCAUCCAUAACAUCUAGCUGUGUUCAUCAAAAAGUAACUCCUAGUUCUGGCCGUGGACCUGCACUCCGGUGUCCCGGGUGCUGUACAAGCAGAGCAAGAGUGGGAUCAGAUGCCAUCACACCAGAGCAGUUGCACUUUAUACCCCUGUCCAUUGACAGUCUUCAGCAAGUGCACGGAAACGCUGAACUGGGCUGUGUGUCCGAGUCUUGAUGUCCCUGGCAGCAAUUCAAGUUAGGAUCCUGUAUCCUCAGCUCCUCACAGGGCCUUUAGGAGUGCAGGGGCUUUGUCAAACAGGAAGCAAACCAUGGUCAAAACCAUACUCAAAACCAUGCUGAAACCAUGCUCUGUGGUUCAGAUUCAAAGUGUGACCUAUAACUUCAUGAACUGAAGGUCCAUCAGAAAAGAACAGGGUGUUGAAUUCCCCUGCUGAGAGCUUCUGUGGUUCAGGAACUUGUGUAGAACAGCCGUGUAAGUGCCAUCAGCUCAUGCACUGUUGCAGACACAGGAGAAGGCUGAAUUGCUGCAGAUAUCCAAAAAAGACUGAGAAGGUGGUGGCUAGGAAAGCAAACAAUAAGCUGGGUAGUUUUUGAGGGAGAAAAGGUAGUUUAAAGAUCGAGACUGACAAGCUGUCUCACAUACUUCCUGACAUUUUGGUAGUAAGGAAAAUGAGUUCAUUUCUGCUUUAAACCUUGGCAGAAAGUGAGUAGUAAUUUGGCACUUAGGUAGAGCUUGAUCUCUACAAAGCACUUUACAAACAUUCAYGUAAGAAGCAUCUCGAUCCCUGGCAGUUAUGAGGAGAUCACCCACUCCGAGCCUAGCUGGAGCUGCUGGUGACCAUCCCUUGGUGACCAUCCCAAGGGAGCUGGGAGCCGACUCAGCAAGGAAGGUGGAUUCCUCCCUGCUCAAAAGUCUUACUUUCAAAGUAGCGUUACUUUCAAAGUAACGAAAGUAGCGUUUCAGGAGUGACCUGAUUGUGUUUACCAGACAGCACUAUUGCACUAGAAAGUCAUUUCCAAUCUGCGUGCAGCCCCUUUAUUUCCUGGCAUGCACGAUCCUGCGCGUGACUGGUUCCCUCCUCUGUGCCGCUGGGACUGGAUCCGGGGGAAUGUGGCUACCUACCCUUCCAGCUGUAUCGGGAGGCAGCCUGGCAUGCGGUUGUUUGCUGUGUUUGCACUCUGCCUGUUAGGCUGCUUCUGAGAAGCCUCGAAUUGCCUUCUGCUAGUGACCCACCUUGCCAWAGACCAAGGCAGGAAAGGUGCAGAAGAACCCUUUCCGUUGAGGUUCUUAUUGCAUCAUAUUAGGGAUAGUCACCAUUUGCCACUCUUGYGUCCUGACAGACCCUUUCCAGUUGCUGCCCCUCACAACCUAACCCCGUGUUCUUUGCAUUUCUGCUCUAAGUUGUCUUUCUGGGGGUCUUCAUCCUCGUAAUUUCUGUGCCGUAGGAGCAUUCGCACAAGCUGGUGUUCCAUUCCAUCCUGGAAGAGCCUAUCUGAAAAGUUAAAACUAAGUGCUAGGAUGUAGCUACCUCUUUGAUUCAYACUGCUACUAUUGCCUACGUUCUCUGCCCUUCCUCCACUGCAAUGUGUCUUUGAAAACGUGGAGCCUCUUCAUUUUUCUUAACCACUUGGCUGCCAGUUGCUACUCUCAAGGUGUGUUGCAGCCACUUUGUGCCUUGUAAUGUCUAGAUGUUCCCUUAAUAUUUCCAUGGGGUGUUGCAUCCCACAGAGGCCGUGCUGCAAGUGCACUUGUGGUGUUCGACACGCUGGUCCUCACCUAAACCACCAACAGUUCACUCRGUUCUUUGGCAUAUCCUCAAAUCACAGUUCAGAGCUCCUGGAUAAAGGAGUGGAGCUGAGGGCAUCCGGCCUCUGGGGGACAGAGACUGGGCUUUGUGCGCCUUAAAAUUAAAGCAUAGUAAACGAAACCUUGUAUUCUGAUGCACCGUGGUCAAAGACUCUUGUGAGGCUUUUACUGUUCCUUCCCCAGCCCUCCAGGUAGGCAGCUCUUGGUUAAGUGUAAGGGUGGGAUGGGGCAGUUGUCCUCACGUGUUUGGUGGUGACAGCAUCAUCAGGCUGCUGUGGAAGGUCAUCCCGAGGCCUUGGAACAUUUGGGGCAAUGCAGGAGGCAUUUGCAGCAGACACACUGGAAUGGGUUUCCAGUCAUUUUCUAUCCUCUUUGAGCUCUUGUCUUGUUUUACUUGAGAGCUGUUGCUUUCUGUGGCRGAUGAGGGUGUCUUGAAAGGUCACAGAAUUGUUGGCACUGAAGUGCUCUUAGAUGCAGGUGCUUUUGCCUCUCUUGUGUCCMGUCAGGAUUUUCCAUGGUCAUUCCCAGCUUCUGCAUUUUCUUAAAGGAAUUUAUUCUUUAAAGUGAACAGGAGUUAUAUGGGAUAUUCUGUUCUGUACAGAGAAAUGAGAUGGGAAAGCUCGUUGUGAGGGUAGAUAUAACAAUCCACCAACUCCAUCUCUGUGCUUUUAGGAUAUUGAAUGCAUUACUGUAGAUUGCACUAACAGCUGAARAUGCCAAACGGGAACGGGGUUUAGAGCUGUUGAUGAACCAAGGAGCUCGAGAAGGAGGAAAGCCCGUGGACGGCCGGGGGAUGCGCUCUUUGGAGCUGAUGUAUUGCCCGGCCUGAAUUAGCGUGUCCUUCCUGCCAAAGGGAACAGAGUAGGGGGCAAAUGAUGGCAAGCCCAGCCAACUACAUUGCYGAGGGAUUCUUUUUGUGGUUAUCACCUCCAAAUAAGCUGCACAUCCCCUGAGUUUCGCUGUGUGUUUGUGAUAAGGGGCUAAUUAGAGGGGCAUUAAACCUCUACUUUCAGCAGUUUUGUUUCUUUCUGGGGUCUUUCUGAUUUGUUCCCGCUCUCACUGCAUGUUGCCCGGCUUUGUGGAGCUUUUCCGUGGUUUUGACUAUUUCUCCUUCCCAUUCUAAAAAUCAUUUUAAUGUUGCUGUGUUCUGCUCUCAGACUGCAUGAUAGGAUCUGUACAUGUCUGCGAGCAUCUUGCUGAUCUGUAAAAUGGCCUCUUGUAAUCURUUCUUCAGUCCUUUGGAUGUUUUCCUCAUGUGUGAUUUUUCUUYUAGUCUGUGGGUGGGCAAGGACCAAUGUUUUCCUUGAACUGCCCACACAGCCACCCAACUAAAUUUAGAGCUUGGAGCAUAGGAGUGAUGAAAAUUUUUCYUUGACAAUGGCCCUGUGUUGAUCACUGCUGAAAUGCAGUUGUUUUGGGUUUGCAGUUUGCCUUUUACAGCCAUCUAUGUAUAGAGAAGCCUGGAAGCAGCUUCGAUCUUAGUUAAAAAUACAUGUCUUGGUCAUCUGCUGGUGUAUCGACAACCUUAUACUUGCCCCCUUUCCUAGAACAGCUGUCACAUCUUUCUGGGAGAAAAACAAGAUAYGGAUCAUCUAUGCAAAGUGUGCCUGGCUUCUUCGGCAGGUUUUACAAGCUGGGCAGAUGUAUUUCCAGAUAUCGUGAAAUUCAUUGGGGCAUCUUAAAACUUAGCUGCUCGUUUGCGAGCUGCCUCCCUGUUUCUGCCAGUGAAUAGAUCAUAUGCACACGUAAGAACUGCCUAUACUUACAAAUGCUGCCUGCUCUAUCCAAGUCCAGCCUAACUGUGACACUGGAAGGCAUUCUAGUCUGCUCUGUCUCAUUUCCACGGUCAACAGAGGCAUUUCUGUAUCUGCCUUGGGAAUCAGCUGAGCUGGAGAUCUGCUGGAUACUGAGUCUCACUGUGUGCUUGUGCAGACCCACAGCUUGGAUAUUCUCUUCUCUCAGCAGUAUGAGAACGCUCUGUCUGCAGCAGCUUUGCUCAGUUUGCAGCCAGGUUAGCCAUGGCAUUCCAUCUCCCUUUUUUUUAAGGAUGAAGGUUGCAAUUACUGCCUGCGUUAAGUCACAUAUGCCAGUAAUUUGCUUAUARAGGGGCUUACAGGGCUUUAAAUGCACUGCAGAAAUACUGGCAGGUAUUUAAAGUAACCCUUAGCAAAAGUAGCAGCCUUGUUUGCUAAAGAAUUCCUUGAGCCUUUUUUGAGUCUGUAGCAGUGCAUUUACAUCUCUCUGCUCAGAUAAGCGGAAUCUGGGAUUCUUUUUGCUGAAAAUCCUUCCAUGCUGUCAUAUACUUGUUAUCCCCUCUUGUGUUUAAAUUAUCCCCAGCUGCAGCUGGAUUUUUGCUGAGAGCUGUUAUAUAAUUGUGCUGCUGCCAGCACACGCACAGGACUGUGAUCCUCUUCUUUCUAAUCAGAAAAGCCUAAGGUGAGUAAAUAUUGGUUGGCUAAAUGCUGCCUUGUUCGAGCUCCGUAGCAACAGAAGGAAUGAGUUACAAAAGGAAAGGGGAGCGAGAGGAAAAUGGAUCAAAUGUUGAGCGUGCCGGACCUGAAAGCUCCAUGUGAAAGCCCAAGGCAGGCUUAACAGGAAUGGCUCUUGUUGCUAUUAGCUUUGGGCAGCAGUGCACGAAGGGGGCACUGCGUCACCCGGGCUUUUUGCACAUCCUUCCUGGAGGYUGUUCAGUACAGAACUGCAGAGCUGGAUUUGGGGAUGAACCACAUGUUUUGUGCCAAAGGGCCCCGCUCCACGCUGCUYCUCCUGCAUGGGGCCC
This is a long non-coding RNA of Nothoprocta perdicaria, 5022 nucleotides long. RefSeq lists it as uncharacterized. The transcript is spliced from 2 exons. Lineage: Eukaryota; Metazoa; Chordata; Aves; Tinamiformes; Tinamidae. The record is from RefSeq and is a predicted model, not a curated record.